UGACAAGUAUGUAUUUAUUAUUUAGUUAUUGGAUUUUAUCAUCUCUAACUAUUGGUUAUUGGCCGCUGCCACUCUUAACUGUCACUUUGACGGUGACAGCAGCCAAUAGCCAAUAGUUGUUCAUGAUAAAAUCUAAUAACCGAUGAAAAUUGAUACACCAUCCUAACGGUGAAAUAAUUGAAUAAAUAUUUACAUGUUACAUAAAAAGUACAAACCAAUACAACUAUAGACUAUAGUAACUAUUCUUCACAAAACAACCACAAAAUUGAUCAAACAACUUAAAACAAUCUGUAUACAUCAACCAACAAUAUCUAGAACCUAAUCAAAUUUACAAAAAUCAUCCUCCUCCGACGAAAUCGGAACCCCCCUAGUGGACGAAGAAGGAGACGCCUCGCCACCAGGAGGCAUAUCCGCGAUGGCAGCAAACACGCGGCGAAUACUAACUGAUCGCGCAGGUUUAAAGCUAAACGACCUCGCCAUCUUCGACUUAGAGAACAAAUUCGAGGAGUUAGACAGGAUGAGAUAAACUAGAGCUUGAACAAUCACGAAAACCGCACCUUUGAUCAAUAGAUUAUCGAAUGAAAACUCGAUCAUUGUUAUGAAUGGUAGUGUAAGUCCUUAAAUGGAAGUUGGAGUGUGUAU
Molecule: long non-coding RNA, 642 nt
Filed under: Helianthus annuus (common sunflower)
Lineage: Eukaryota; Viridiplantae; Streptophyta; Magnoliopsida; Asterales; Asteraceae
Description: hypothetical non coding rna
Source: RNAcentral